UUAAGUCGACCGCCUGGGGAGUACGGCCGCAAGGUUAAAACUCAAAUGAAUUGACGGGGGCCCGCACAAGCGGUGGAGCAUGUGGUUUAAUUCGAUGCAACGCGAAGAACCUUACCUGGUCUUGACAUCCACGGAAGUUUUCAGAGAUGAGAAUGUGCCUUCGGGAACCGUGAGACAGGUGCUGCAUGGCUGUCGUCAGCUCGUGUUGUGAAAUGUUGGGUUAAGUCCCGCAACGAGCGCAACCCUUAUCCUUUGUUGCCAGCGGUCCGGCCGGGAACUCAAAGGAGACUGCCAGUGAUAAACUGGAGGAAGGUGGGGAUGACGUCAAGUCAUCAUGGCCCUUACGACCAGGGCUACACACGUGCUACAAUGGCGCAUACAAAGAGAAGCGACCUCGCGAGAGCAAGCGGACCUCAUAAAGUGCGUCGUAGUCCGGAUUGGAGUCUGCAACUCGACUCCAUGAAGUCGGAAUCGCUAGUAAUCGUGGAUCAGAAUGCCACGGUGAAUACGUUCCCGGGCCUUGUACACACCGCCCGUCACACCAUGGGAGUGGG
RNAcentral lists this ribosomal RNA (554 nucleotides) under Shigella flexneri. RNAcentral describes it as "bacterial SSU rRNA". It matches the Rfam family "Bacterial small subunit ribosomal RNA", at positions 860 to 1414 of the family's 1533-position model. The record is from RNAcentral. Lineage: Bacteria; Pseudomonadati; Pseudomonadota; Gammaproteobacteria; Enterobacterales; Enterobacteriaceae.